RNAcentral lists this ribosomal RNA (257 nucleotides) under uncultured bacterium. RNAcentral describes it as "partial 16S ribosomal RNA". It matches the Rfam family "Bacterial small subunit ribosomal RNA", at positions 521 to 776 of the family's 1533-position model. The record is from RNAcentral.
UAAUACGUAGGGGGCGAGCGUUGUCCGGAGUUACUGGGCGUAAAGGGCGCGUAGGCGGUUAUUGCAAGUUAGCUGUGAAAGACCCUGGCCUAACUGGGGCAAGUCAGCUGAGACUGUGUGACUGGAGGGCGGUAGAGGAAGGUGGAAUUCCGGGUGUAGUGGUGAAAUGCGUAGAUAUCCGGAGGAACACCGUUGGCGAAGGCGAUCUUCUGGGCCGAACCUGACGCUGAUGCGCGAAAGCGUGGGUAGCGAACCGA